GCGCUGAAGGUUGGUACUUGUACCGACUGGAUGAGCAGCGAACGGGUGAGUAACGCGUGGGGAAUCUGCCUUUGAGCGGGGGACAACAUUUGGAAACGAAUGCUAAUACCGCAUAAAAACUUUAAACACAAGUUUUAAGUUUGAAAGAUGCAAUUGCAUCACUCAAAGAUGAUCCCGCGUUGUAUUAGCUAGUUGGUGAGGUAAAGGCUCACCAAGGCGAUGAUACAUAGCCGACCUGAGAGGGUGAUCGGCCACAUUGGGACUGAGACACGGCCCAAACUCCUACGGGAGGCAGCAGUAGGGAAUCUUCGGCAAUGGACGAAAGUCUGACCGAGCAACGCCGCGUGAGUGAAGAAGGUUUUCGGAUCGUAAAACUCUGUUGGUAGAGAAGAACGUUGGUGAGAGUGGAAAGCUCAUCAAGUGACGGUAACUACCCAGAAAGGGACGGCUAACUACGUGCCAGCAGCCGCGGUAAUACGUAGGUCCCGAGCGUUGUCCGGAUUUAUUGGGCGUAAAGCGAGCGCAGGUGGUUUAUUAAGUCUGGUGUAAAAGGCAGUGGCUCAACCAUUGUAUGCAUUGGAAACUGGUAGACUUGAGUGCAGGAGAGGAGAGUGGAAUUCCAUGUGUAGCGGUGAAAUGCGUAGAUAUAUGGAGGAACACCGGUGGCGAAAGCGGCUCUCUGGCCUGUAACUGACACUGAGGCUCGAAAGCGUGGGGAGCAACAGGAU
RNAcentral lists this ribosomal RNA (728 nucleotides) under Lactococcus sp. HXF0052. RNAcentral's name for it is "bacterial SSU rRNA". It matches the Rfam family "Bacterial small subunit ribosomal RNA", at positions 64 to 778 of the family's 1533-position model. Lineage: Bacteria; Bacillati; Bacillota; Bacilli; Lactobacillales; Streptococcaceae. The record is from RNAcentral.